GUGGCUGUCUUUGCUGUUGCUGCAUUUGCUGGAGAUGGAAUGCAGCCAUAAGCAGCCACGGACAGUGACGUGAAUGGUUCCUGCCGACAGUGUCUGCAGAGUUAUCAGAUCUUCUGUGCGAUGGUUCCAUACAUG
Colinus virginianus (northern bobwhite) is the source of this 135-nucleotide non-coding RNA. The record is from Rfam. NCBI's taxonomy places the organism in Eukaryota, Metazoa, Chordata, Aves, Galliformes, Odontophoridae.